RNAcentral lists this unclassified non-coding RNA (316 nucleotides) under Hevea brasiliensis (rubber tree). Lineage: Eukaryota; Viridiplantae; Streptophyta; Magnoliopsida; Malpighiales; Euphorbiaceae. The record is from RNAcentral.
GCCCACCCAACUGCCGGAACAACCUUAGAGCCACAUUCAACUGAUAACUGAUCCAUGUCCGACAUUCCCAACAAAAUUGUCUCUUUCUUGGCCAAUAGAGUCCAGAAGCAUGGUAGCAAGAUAGAUCGAUGCUUGACAGCUGGCACAAGAACUUGUGGCAGAUUUUGAACAAGCCCGGGAAUUGUCAGUAGAUACAAGCAAAACUGUUCAGCAACAUGAUGCCCUUCCCACGAAGUAGUACCAAUCAUAUCAAAAUUCAUUAAAUGAAAUGGUCGUAAUGCUAAAGUUAUUGCACUCACAGAAGUGACUAAUAAAU